AUACGUAGGGGGCGAGCGUUGUCCGGAAUGAUUGGGCGUAAAGGGCGCGUAGGCGGCCCGGUAAGUCUGGAGUGAAAGUCCUGUUUUUAAGAUGGGAAUUGCUUUGGAUACUGUCGGGCUUGAGUGCAGGAGAGGUAAGUGGAACUCCCAGUGUAGCGGUGAAAUGCGUAGAGAUUGGGAGGAACACCAGUGGCGAAGGCGACUUACUGGACUGUAACUGACGCUGAGGCGCGAAAGUGUGGGGAGCAAACAGGAUUAGAUACCCUGGUAGUCCACACUGUAAACGAUGAAUGCUAGGUGUAGGGGGUAUCGACCCCUUCUGUGCCGCAGUCAACACAAUAAGCAUUCCGCCUGGGGAGUACGGCCGCAAGGUUGAAACUCAAAGGAAUUGACGG
Molecule: ribosomal RNA, 395 nt
Filed under: uncultured bacterium
Lineage: Bacteria
Description: partial 16S ribosomal RNA
Rfam family: Bacterial small subunit ribosomal RNA
Source: RNAcentral